This 791-nucleotide long non-coding RNA is filed under the name Homo sapiens (human). RNAcentral's name for it is "non-protein coding lnc-TRAPPC10-3:1". The record is from RNAcentral. Lineage: Eukaryota; Metazoa; Chordata; Mammalia; Primates; Hominidae.
CCAUCACAGCACCCCAGAGGAGACAAAUUCUGGAGCUCAGAGAGCUGGGAGGGCAGCUGCUGGUGUGACCUCAGCUGCUCCCCAGACCCUAAGGGGAUCUGGGACCUUCCACCUUCUACCAACGGUGUUGGUCUUCUGUCCUCACGCCUAUGGUUUCACGCUCCCACAGUGGCUCCUGCACCUUCAGACACUGCCUCCUCACCGAGGGAGGGAAGAACGACAAAGGUGAUGACCAGAGGACCUCCAGGACGUAGAGGUUGAUGAUCCGGGCAGGUGGCCUUCAGCGAGGGAGCACGUCAAAAGGCUGUGGGCCGUGCAGACAGCUGGGGGACACCGUCCCGGGUGUGACCUUGGGCCACACGGCAGGGUGGUGGACUUGCUCCUAGAAUUGGGCUCCAGGGCUGAAGCCAGCCCCUCUGAUCUGGCACUGGCCGGCUCCAUUCACCCUUUUUGGGGCUUACUGCCGCAGAGACUUCCUUUGAGGAGAGCUGGACCCAAGACGCCAGAGUUCCGGGGGCACUGAGUGCUGUGUGGCACCCGGGCCAGGAGAAACAUGUGCCAGAGGGCAGGCGUGGGCUCUCCGGGGAGUCUCUGCGUAGACUUUCUAGCCCAGAGGUUCAGGUGAUGGACCAGAGACUGGCCGCUUUGUGACACCGAGGACGGUUGAUAAAGUGGAUUCUCGAGGGGAAGCUGCAUCCACACAGAGGCUGGGACGUGAAUGUGCAUCACGGCUCUAUCUGUGGCCCCCAAAGGCUGGGUGCCAGCUGCCUGUCGGCAGGGAGCGUAUCACC